UUCAGACGCCAACCUAAGCAUCUUUAUUUAUACUCUUUCAUUCAUUUUCUGUUACCCUUUUCUUAGUUGUAUACUUUCUCUAUUGAAAAAACCAUGUGUUGAUGCAUAUCUCUCUGCUAAUUAAAGUUUUCAUCUUCUACAAAGAACAAGGUAAAGCAAGAAAGCCAAGUAUCUUUCUUUCUCCGUCUCUGUGUGUUGUUAGUUACUUUUCCACUAUUUUAUUAGUAGCUAUUACCUCUUAUCAGUAUAGCUAUAAUUACUUCUUUCUCUAUAUUUUUUUCUAGUUGUUUAUCCCAUUUCAAAAAUUAAGUUCCAUUUUUUCCCUAGUUGUAUGUUGUGGUUGUUUGUUCCUUCUACUCUGAUUCUACUACUUGUGAGAUUGUUAUUUACUGCAUAUUAAAUAGAAGUGGAGGUUUUGAAGGGAUUGAGAACCAUGCUUAGAGAAUAGAGAGAAAUAAAGAUAAGUUAAAAUGAUUGCUUUUUGUUUUACCAUUAAUUACUGCACUUGAUGUUGUUAUUUGGCUGAAAAUCUCCGCUUAUGGGAGAAAACAUGUUGUCUCACACAGUAUAUGAGUAAUGAAUUCAUGUUAACGUUUCAUUUUGGUGUUGAGGUAGUCGAUUUUAGGAAUCAAUUAUUGGUUAAUUAAUUGCCUAUAAUAUAUGUUAUGGGGUUUUCUGAGCUUUAAAUUAAGGGUCCAUGCAAAUUUUCUGUCAACCUUUGAAGCCUUGAGUAUAUAUAUAAGAUGUAGUUUUCUGAUCUACCAAUAUAUAAACUUAUAAGUUUGGCGAUAAGCGUAUAUAAAAGAGAGUGUGUGUGUGGCUUAAUAAUAAUAAGAAUAAUAAUAAUCAUUCUCUUUCUACUUAGCAGCUGGAUUAAUGAAUAACAAGUGGGAUUUAUUACUCGAUGGCAAGGACUAUAAAGCCUGUAGUAGGGUGUUUCCCAGGAGUGAUCAAAGGGAAGAGAGGACAAUUUGAAGCAUUUCAGGUUAGCUUAUUUCCUUGUUUUCUUGUUUUUUUUUACCUGGUCAUGGUUCCUUUUCUGAAGAUUGUUGUUGGGUAAUUCAAAUUUAUUGAAAUUGGCCUAUGAAUUACGUAGACAUGCCAGUUUUUCGGUGGUUAAGUUUGCUGAGACAUGGAGCAAGAACCCUAUCUGAUUAGCUGUAACUAGAAAAUGAAAAUGACAUCCUUUAAUCGUUUUUACUCUCUUUGUAAUACAAUAACAACAACAAAACAACCAGUGUAAUCCCACAAGUGAGAUCUGGAGAGGGUAGUAUGUACGUAGACUUGGAGAGCAUAGUGUGUACGUAGUAGCAGGGGGUACUUCAUUAAAGGGUCGAAAAAUUACACUGCAUAUAUAUACAUAUAUAUACAUAUAUAUACAUAUAUAUAUAUACCGGGUGUCCGAGUCUUUAAGAGCUCCAACUAAUCUCAGGGGUGUACAGGCCCUCGGCAAGGAGUUUCCCGCAAGCGCAAGGAGUUUCCCGCAAGCGCAACAGGGUUAAUUCCGAAGGCCCUUAGAAAUUAUUUGCACCCACUGCGUUUCGAACUUGAGACCUUGAAAGGGAGCAAACCCCAAGGCUCAAGUCAAUUGCCACCAUGCCAACUCCUGAGGGUUACACUGCAUAUAUAGGUAAAAUAUAGGCUUUAUAGGUAUAUAACAUAUAUUGAACACUUUUUGUCGGAGAAUUUUGUUCACCUUUUCCAAGUUUGAACACACUUGAGGAAAUUUCUGGCUUCGGCACUGCGUAGUAUACCUUACCCCCACCUUGAAGGUAGAAAGGCUGUUUCCGAUAGAUUUUUCCUCCUUGUAAUAAUUAUAGAAGUUAAAACAAUCUGGACAGAAAGUAUGUUGCUGUUUAAAAAUUAUGUGGUAUUGCAUACUGAUUGCUGAGAAUCAUUGCCUCGUUGAAGAUUUUGAGACUUGGGUCUUGGAUCUUCACUAACUUUUUGCUUGAAGUCUGCAGUUUCUUGGGUGAUUCAUUGAAAAAGGAUAAUUAUCAUUAAUAAAAGGAAUCAUGAUUUGCAGUUGUCAAUCCAACAAAAUUCAGAAAAUGCUCUAUGCCCUAACCAACUACAAAAUUAAAGGUGGCAAGGGCUGUAAUUCCUUUUGCUGAUCCUUUUGUCAGCACAGUGUAGUUUCGUUUCUUUAUCCUUCCUCCUGUGAUGUGAUUCUUGUAUGUGAGACACUGUACAGUUAAUUCGUCGUCAUCUUGAAACACAGAUUAUGAUUAAUUAAUCCCAUCCUUUUGGUUUCACCGGUUAAGUCACCAGUGGACUGAGUUUGCCACCAUAGCUUCAUGUGAGGGCUGCGCUUACUCUUACUGGUUUUAGACGACUUACACCUCUUCGCAUAAACUCAAAUGCCAACAUAAACAAGCCAAAAAAGAACACCAAGAAUAUCUGGAGCCUUGCUACAAUGUCAACCAUGACAGACACAUUGCUUCCCUCGGGAGAACUUUUUCUUGUAGGUGGGGUUAUACUCCAUCCUGAUACAGACAAUCAACUAUUAGAGUGAUGCAACUUAACCAAUAAGCUUAAAACAAAUAACGGGACUUGUGAUUCAUGGAAGUAUUUUGUGUCGUUCGCGCUCGUUACCAUAUUACAUUGUCAUUACCAUUGUUUGCUACUUGGUUGUUUUAUCCUAUCUCCACUGUUCUUUGCGCCGAGCAUCUAUCGGAAACAACCUCUAUCUUUAUAAGGUAGGGGUAAGGUCUCUCCCCAGACCUCAUUUAUGGGAUUGCACUGGGUCGUUGUCAUUCUUGUUGUUGUUGUUAUUGUUGUUAGUGAUUCAUGGAAGUUUAUACAUCCUACAGAGACAUUUUCCCUCUAUCUCCCCCUAUUCCAAAUAGUCUAGUUCAUUAUGCAGCCUUUUUCUUGGAAGAGUAGGUAAGAAAACAGAUAUAAGUACUUACCGGUGCUUUUCUUGGGCAAAUUUGUCCAGUCAUACGGGCUAAUCUUACUUGAAGAUGCCUUGAUCAACUCAAGAAGUGCGUCAUUGACCUAAAAUUUUUAUAAUCGUCAUAUACUUCCAUUAACAAUUAGCAUACAUAUGACUCCAGCCACACAAAUGCCAAUAGAUUGGACAUAUCUAAAAUUUUGUAUAUGCUGAUAAUCGUCAUAUACUUUCCAUUAACAAUCAGCAUACAUAUGACUAAAGCCACACAAAUGCCAAUAGAUUGGACAUGUCUAAAAUUUUGUAUAUGCUGAUUGACUCAUAAAUAUUGAAGUGCAAUAUAAUAAUUUCAUUUGAUCAUGAUAUCCAUGUGAAUGUUUGAUUCUCCUAUUUAUUUUAUCUUUUUCAAGAACCGACAAGUUGUCUGCUGUCGAAACAUUCAUUGAUGUUCUGCAUGACACCACAGGCCCUAGCUCUGAAAACAAAAAUGAAAAGAGAAAUACCUGCUAGAUCUAAACAGUCUGCAUUGUAUAAAAUACCCUCUCACUUGCUAAAAAACCAAAAGCAAUAAAAAUACUCAGGUACCUGAACACUUGGAAUAAUUAUCAGAUUAUAGUGUCCAGUGUGCUUGAAAGGAUUCUAGUAUGCGUUGACCCAUUUUCAACCCGUUUAAACAUGGGUAGGUAGAGUAAGGUUUUGUUACGGGCGGGUUGGGGGGGGUUAAAGCAAUUUGGGUGAAAUUUGGUAUUUAUGUGGUGUUCACAGAUACAUUGCACAAAUCAUUUAAAGCCACAGGAGAGUACAAAAACUUUGAGAAUCUCAUAGGGUAUUAUGCAUUUCAAAAUGUUCUAUUAGUGACUCCACCAAAAGGUUGAUUUUGGCCUAUUAGUGACUCCGCCCAGUGCCAAGUCAUUGAUUUUUUACAGCGGCCAACUGAUCCUCAGAAUCACUAGAAAAUUGCAGAUCAAUAGUUCUUAGAUGAGACCCAUUCCCCCAGCUCUUUGGAGCAAAUUCACAAUAUAUUAUAUAGAAUCAGAUGCUUUCUUGACCUAUAUCUUAGUAUGCAACUUUUACCUGAUAUGCAGAGCACCUAUGGUUCUGUCACUAUUAGAAUAAUAGAUGCAUAUAAUAAUACCUCUUCUGUCCUUUCAUGACUAACGAGAUGUCCUCCAGGAAGCUCUACCAUUCUAGCAUACGGAUGUAAUUUCUUCGCAAGACUCUUCGCGUGGCUUAAUUGAGCAAUGACGUCGUCCCUACACAGAAGAAAUAUUGAUUUAAAAUCUGGAUAACCUUUCAAAAGAAACGGAUUUACAUCUAAACAAUAUUUCUGGCUGUUUGAGAUUGUAUCUGUAGUGGAUAAUGCCUUCAAAUUACAG
RNAcentral lists this long non-coding RNA (4269 nucleotides) under Nicotiana benthamiana. RNAcentral's name for it is "long non-coding RNA (NBEN_LNC033202)". The record is from RNAcentral. Lineage: Eukaryota; Viridiplantae; Streptophyta; Magnoliopsida; Solanales; Solanaceae.